This is a long non-coding RNA of Coregonus clupeaformis (lake whitefish), 954 nucleotides long. RefSeq lists it as uncharacterized. The record is from RefSeq and is a predicted model, not a curated record. NCBI's taxonomy places the organism in Eukaryota, Metazoa, Chordata, Actinopteri, Salmoniformes, Salmonidae. The transcript has 5 exons.
AUUGUGCGAAACGUCAGGAAUUUUUUCUUCCUAAUUUUAAACAAUACUCCUUUUAUCUUUUUACCUUGAAACAAAAAAGGUUUUGAUAAUGUGAAUCAGAAGAGGAUUACUGUAUCUCACUAUUCUAAAAGGACACCAUUUUUCCUACAAACAAAGAUAAGCACAUGGACCUUUGGAGACUUGGUGGGGAUGGUAUGGAAGAGCUCUUUUCCGUGUGAGAUAUCCAUUUCUCUGGGUUGGUGAGUACUCCCAAAAUCACUGUGUGUACACAUGAAGAUUUGAACAUUUGGAGUGACUUGAAGUGGAACCACUAUCAGAAUUGAACCAUAAAGGAGUGAUCACUUUUGAAUGGAGUGUUUUUCUCCCACUUGAGUGGGUUUUUUUUUUUUUUUUUUUCUCACCUUUGUGUGUUUUUAUGGAGUGACACCUAACCUAAAGUGGUAAUUUCCUACGGAUCUGGGGUAACCACCAGAUGGCAACGGACAAUUAUUUGUUGUUGGAGUAAAUGAGUUUUGGGAUUUCCAGCAAGGGUUCCUGGUUUUGAACCUUUACCAUGGCAGUGCCACUACAUAACCGUUUCCAGGCUCUAGUUAGUUUAAAUGAUGAGGGGAUGGUAAGACAGGUGAACAAAUUGGCGGCCUUUAUUAAACCCUCCUCGCCUAACCAACAGACCCUGGCAAAGGUCCUGCAAAGAGUGGCGGGACUAGCUUCAGACUUACCCCAAUAACCAGGAAGAGCACGGGGAUACCGAAUCCCCAAACUCAGCGACCAAGAAACAAUUUGGCCGAGCCUAAAGUCCCAGCCUUGACCCUUCCAGGUUCACAGCAAGAGGACCAUCAGGGUAAGGUAGCAAUGGCAAAUGGAAAAGACACGGGCCCUGGGACAGAACCAAUACUGGAACCUGUAAAAAAGGAGAAACUCUUUUAUCCCACAUGUCAUUCUAGAACUGAAAGG